UCAUGAAGUAAAUAAGGCCGGUUACUACAAAUAUAAAUUUAAAANCUAAAGAACUUGGCGGUGUCUUAUCAUACCAGGGGAACCUGUUCCUUAAUUCGAUAAUCCACGAAACCACUACCACUAAUUGAAAACCAGCUUGUAUACUGCCGUCAUCAGCAUACCUUAAAAAGAUAUAGUAUGCAAUAAUAAUCAAUAUUAAAUAUGUCAGGUCAUAGUACAGUUAAUUUAGCGGGGGAAAUGGGUUACAAUCAUUACAUAGAUGCCAAAACAAUAACUAAAGUUAUGAAGAAAGAUGGACUUGGCAGUAAUAAAAUAUAGAAUAUUUUUAUGAAUAAUGAUCUAAGACAUGCACAUAUCGCCCGUCACUCCCAUCUAAAGAUG
This 381-nucleotide ribosomal RNA is filed under the name Chaetogaster diaphanus. RNAcentral describes it as "partial 12S ribosomal RNA". The record is from RNAcentral. Lineage: Eukaryota; Metazoa; Annelida; Clitellata; Tubificida; Naididae.